UCCAAAACAAGGAUAUUGUUAC
Molecule: microRNA, 22 nt
Filed under: Shrimp white spot syndrome virus
Lineage: Naldaviricetes; Nimaviridae
Description: wssv-mir143
Source: RNAcentral